Long non-coding RNA from Leucoraja erinaceus (little skate), 4490 nucleotides. RefSeq lists it as uncharacterized. NCBI's taxonomy places the organism in Eukaryota, Metazoa, Chordata, Chondrichthyes, Rajiformes, Rajidae. The transcript has 3 exons. The record is from RefSeq and is a predicted model, not a curated record.
UUGAAAGGAAAGACGAGGUUCAGUAGUUAUGGGUCAGUCACCACUUCUCCUGUGCCAAUUCACAAACUACCCAUGACUUCACCUGGGCCCACAUUGUACAUUAGGAGUUGUUUGGGAAUUUUGGGAGAGGGGCUGGGUGGAAUCUCAGCUAGGACACCAUUGGAACAGUCAAGGCUAAUGCACCAAAUACAAAUUGCAAUGAACUGCGUGCCAAACCACAGAAGGGCAGAGGUCACCAAAGGAUAAAACACAAAAGCAAAACUUUCCUUAAAAAAUAAGAUUAAAUUGCUUGCAUCUCAAGGUCAACCGAUGUGGUUCCAAGGAAAAGAUAACAGCAGGAUGGACUGAAUCAUGAAGCAAGGUUUAAAUAUUAGCCAAGGAAUUGUAAAAUGCAAUCUGGGGGAAACCGUUUACAGUCACCUACCUUGGCGGAGAAUCGACUUUUCUCCUCGCCCUCCCUUGCGGCCUAACAACUUGGAUUGGUGCGGCCUUUCCCGGAGACGGCCCAGAGCUUCAGCAGCAGGCACGGCGGGACUUUCAUCGCAGAGCCAGAAGAAAGACUCCGACCGCCGGCCUGCUGACUUUAACAUCGUGAAGCUUCUAGCAGCAGGCGUGGAGCGGACUUUACCAUCACGGAGCCAGGGAUCCCUUGCCGGGGAUCACCAGAGAAGAGCUCUGACCGCUGGCCUGAGGCCUAUAACAUCGCGAAGCCGCGGUCUCCUAUUCGGGCACUCCAAGUGUGUUCCAUCCGUCCCGACGUCAGAGUUUUGAUCAUCCCGACGAGAGGGCCUGUACAUCGGGCCAUCCGUAGGGUCAAAGCCCCAAACACGGGUGAACAAAAGGAGGAAGACUGACUGAAACUUUAUUGCCUUCCAUCACGGUGAUCUCUGUGGUGGAUGUUUAUGUUAAGCUUUAUUGUUCUUUUAAUUGUGUUGUGUUCUUUUAAUUGUAUGGCUGCAUGGUAACUCAAAUAUCACUGUACCCAAUGGUGCACAUGACAAUAAAUGUGAAUCUGAAUCUGAAAGUGAAGGAAUCCCAACUUACUCCACAAACCAUCCGAACAUUCCCUGUACAGGCUCCGGGAAUGACACAGAGCAAAUCAAACUUGUGGUGAAAAGGCGAAAUGUUACCAUCCACUGGUGUGCCUGGAGAUCAGUGGUCCUAUGAACCAUGUGCAUACAGGGUAAAGGAAGCCUCACCUGAAACCCCUGUAAAAAGGACUGUGAUAAAGCUCAGAGUGAAGAUGUAGAGAGGAAGAAUGAUGAACAACAGCCAGGGAGGAUUGAACAGGAAAUUAGGACAACCAGCACCCAUGGCAACAUUGGGUUGAAUCCAUCCUCUAUAAGAGACACCUUCUCUAAGAGCCUUUGAUCAAGUCCACCAUGUGGAUCAACUAGUAGAGCCACUCCCUUUCCGUGCUAUAAACCUUGAUUCCAUCCUGACCUCUUGUGCUGUCUGCAUGGCAUUUACAGAUUCCCCAAUGGACAUGUGGGUUGUCUCCUGCUGCUCCAGUUUCCCUCCCAUAAUCACAGAUUUGUGGGUUGAGAGGUUAAUUGGCCACGGUAAAUUUCCCCGGUGUGUAGGUGUGUGGUAGAACCAGAGUGAAUUUAUGAGAAUGUGGAAAGAAUAAAAAAUCGGAUCAAUGUAGGAUUAGUACAAAUGAGUAGUUGAUCAAUAAGGUAGGGACUAAAUUGUCACCUUAAUGUUCCAGGCUACUGGUGAGAUAAGGUGAGGGUAAAAGAGGAAGGGGAGUUGUUUUAUAAAUUAAGUAGUACAUCACGCUAGUAAUUUGACGUGACCUUACUGAUGGUUUGUUCAGCGAAACCAUUAUGGAUGGGAAUGAGACAUAAAAAGGGGACAGGGCAGGCCCACAAGUUAAAGUUCUAAAUUGGGGCAUGGCCAACUUAAGUGAUAUUAGGAACUCACAAAUGUUGAUUUGAGUAGAUUGUUUGCGGGAAAAUUGACGUCUGAAAGUCAGAUGUUUUUAAAAGUGAGAUAGUAAAAGUUUGAGGUACGCAUGUUCCUGUUAAAUGAAGAGCAAGGCAGGUAGGAGUAUGGAACGCUGGAUGGCAAGAUAAAUAAAAGUUCUGGAUGGGGAAAAAGGAGAUUUGGGUCAGAUACAGGCAGCUGGAAUCAAGGGCAUCCCUGGAGGAGUAUAAGGGAUAGAAGAGCAUAUUUAAGUAUGAAAACAGGCGGGCAAUAAGGUGUCAUGAGAUAGCACUGGCAGAUAAGAUUAAGGCGAAUCCAAAGAGAUUUAAUGUACACUAAGUGAAAAAGGGUAGCUAUAGAGAAAAUAGGACCCCUCAAAAAACAAAACGGUCAUCUACUCUGGAGCCGCAGGAGAUUGCUAAGGUACUCAGUGACUAUUUCUCCUCUGUUUUUACCUCGGAGAACGAUAUGAAGACUAAGGAACUUGGGAAAGUUAAUGGAGAUAUCAAGGGCAUCCCAUGUUAGUCAGGGAGCUGCUGGACAUCUUAAGAUGUUUGAGGAUGGAUAAAUCUCCCAGGCCUGAUCGGAUAUUUCCAAGAAUACCGUGGGAAGCGACAAGAAAAAUAGUGCAGGAGCCCUGGCUGAUAUAUACGAAUCAUUGUUAGACACAGUGAGGUGCCGGAUGACUGGAAGGUGGCUGAUGUUUGUUGUGCCUCUAUUUAAGAAGAAUUGCAACCUUCACGUGCAACCUGGCGUGCACAAAUUAGUAAGUUUUUAGUAAGGCAUGUUUAGUAAGUUUGCAAAUGACACCCAAAUAAGUGGUAAUGUGGACAGUGAAGAUGGUUAUUAAAAAUUACAGCAAGAUCUUGAUCAGCUGGGUAAGAUGGCCAUGGAAUGGAAAAAUAACUCUAACUUGGAUAAAUGUGAGGUGUGAAUUUUGGGAAGUCAAACCAGUGAACCGUAGGUCCCUGGGGAGUGUUGUAGAGCAGAGGUGAAAGGAGAGAUGGGUGCAUAUCCAGAUGAGGCACAGGGAAGAGAGGAGGGGGGCAGAUGGGCGGGAUGGGGGAAGAAGGGGGUGUUCAUGGGUUAGACAUAUAACAUUUCAGAAUUCAAUAUUUAGAUGUUGGGAAGUUAUGUUACAGCUGUACGGGAUGUUGGCAAGCCCACACAUGGAGCAUUGUGUUCAGUUUAGGUCACCUUGUAAAGAAAAAGUGCACAGAAAUGAUUUACAAAGGUGUGGCCAGGACUCGAGAGGCUAAGCUAUAAAAUCAUGAAGAGAAUAGAUUGGGUGAAUACACCGUCUUUUCUCAAUUACGUUUAAAAGACAUUUGGACAGGUACAUGAAUAGGAAAAGUUGAGGGAUAUUGGCCAAACACAGGAAAACGGGACUAGCUGAUACGGCAUAUUUGACAUCGACAGGUUGGGCCAAAGGGCCAGGUUCUGUGCUGCAGGGCUCUAUGACAAUCUGACAGUAACUGCUGCUGAACGGCUCGUUUGCAGACACAAAGGACUUUCUGCUUCAGCACAGGAGAGCAUCUAUCCCACACAGUCAGACACAAUGACCCUGACAAACAAGACCACCAGUGGUAGAGGCCACUCCCAUUCCCAAUCCAACAGACUUCAAACCAGAAGUACACAUUCACAUUCCUCUCUCUACAAGGCAAGAUAUCCUUUUUCUGCAGCAGUUUAUCACAAAGAAAAAUGGGAACGCCAAGCAUCAGUGGUUACAACUGACCCGGAAACCCAGCACUCCAGUGUCAAGCUACCCAUAGGCUUCUUACUUUUUGAAAGGGUCACAUCGGGCGAGUGAGUGCACUGGUAUUAUACAGGUGUGUAGAUUGACACUAGAGAUGCUGUUGCCAGGGAAACGGCUGAACUGCAACAUUGAAGUGUAACAAAAAGGCACGCAUGUAGUCUGGAGAAAGGCUAAGCGAGCAGCUGUCGCACACCUUAAACACAAGAAACAGGUCAAAUACCGUCACUCAGCACCAGAGAUGGAAUGCCAGGUGGAAAUGAAUUUGCAAAUAGGUUUCCCAUGGAUAUGGCGGCAUGUAUUUUAAAUAUAAUGCCGCAGUCUCCCGCAGGUUCACUAUUGCCUUGUCUUGUAAUUGUGCAGACGAGUCUUCUCCCCACUUUCCCUGCCCCGUGUUCGAUCCCGACAGAAAAUAUUUCAAGUUAGGUAGACGGGGUGUUGAAAUGGGACAGUGACACAUCCUCACACACACCCUCCGACAAAAAAUACGUGUGGAAUUCUAGACUUUCAAAACCCCAGCUGAGGUGGAACCGAUUUCGCUCUCCUUCAACAAUGUUCUCGCCGGUUUUACUGGCGCUUUGUCAUUUUGGCACCUGGAUACCACUGCAGGGCUACUGAACACACAAAUAAAAAUUCUCCCGGCUCCUAAAGAGCCACACGGCGGUCUCGUGUUUCCAAUGCCGACACUCAGUCUGUGAAGGCAUCUGUGAGAGGCAAGGGGCAGGGCCCGGUGGGAGAGACGGGAGAAAGUGCAAUAAUCCCCGCCAGUAUUUUCCAAGCCUCUCUACCUCCAGUCUCGGCAUAAGCU